This 219-nucleotide ribosomal RNA is filed under the name Salmonella enterica subsp. enterica serovar Pullorum. Its description in RNAcentral is "partial 23S ribosomal RNA". It matches the Rfam family "Bacterial large subunit ribosomal RNA", at positions 1 to 220 of the family's 2925-position model. Lineage: Bacteria; Pseudomonadati; Pseudomonadota; Gammaproteobacteria; Enterobacterales; Enterobacteriaceae. The record is from RNAcentral. RNAcentral also lists the same sequence under 3 other names.
GGUUAAGCGACUAAGCGUACACGGUGGAUGCCCUGGCAGUCAGAGGCGAUGAAGGGCGUGCUAAUCUGCGAUAAGCGCCGGUAAGGUGAUAUGAACCGUUAUAACCGGCGAUACCCGAAUGGGGAAACCCAGUGUGAUUCGUCACACUAUCAUUAACUGAAUCCAUAGGUUAAUGAGGCGAACCGGGGGAACUGAAACAUCUAAGUACCCCGAGGAAAA